GCGUAAACCACAGUGCAACGGUUCAGCACGCGCUCCUGGAAAGAGUGGGAUCUGGGUUCGAAUCUCGGCUGACGCA
Non-coding RNA from Parelaphostrongylus tenuis, 76 nucleotides. The record is from the annotation of a GenBank genome assembly. Lineage: Eukaryota; Metazoa; Nematoda; Chromadorea; Rhabditida; Metastrongylidae.